This 1018-nucleotide long non-coding RNA is filed under the name Brassica napus (rape). RNAcentral describes it as "long non-coding RNA (BNAP_LNC023449)". Lineage: Eukaryota; Viridiplantae; Streptophyta; Magnoliopsida; Brassicales; Brassicaceae. The record is from RNAcentral.
UGGUCGGUGCAGUCUGCGGUCUUAUUGAUCAUUAACGGAUACUGUGUACUGGAUCGAGUGGGAUUGACGGGCAGACAAGCGGUUGAUGAACUGAAUGGUGGGUUUGGUGCGUCUAUGGGUGGUUCUGAACGUGUAUUGGAGUGCGAGUGUGCUCUAGAUGCAAUGGCUUACACUAACGGUAUGUUCCGAUGAUCUAUGGGAAGUAUCAGAUGCAUAUAUCUGGUCGUGGAUACUGAGCGUGGGACGGUCAGAGCUUAGGAGGGAUGCGGAACUGAUGAGAACAGUUUGAGUGGUUUGAGGGAGACGAUCAGGUCUGGUGAUGUACGGAAUAUGAUUGACUGAUAAGCAGGAUGGCCGUGAGGAGAACUGACUGGAUCGAGGGCUGUGGAGCCGACUGUGUACUGACUGAUUCGGGUGUGAUCAGGGACUGGUUUUGGGGCGCUAAGCAUGGUUAGCGUACUGUCUGUUCUAGAUGGCUGGUUGGAGACCAAGCCGUCUCUCUUUGUUUACUUGGGUCACGUGGGGAUGGUUGGUUGAGUGACAAAGGAACAAGGGGAUUUGGUUAAGUAUUCUGAUCAAACAGGCUGGAUAGGCAUGGAUGGGAAAGAAUGGAGCAGCAAGGCAGGAACUUAUGGACGAAUUAGCAGGUACCAAGCACCUAGGCAGUAAGAUACACGUUUAUUAUACUGUCUGUUGUAGUGAUUUGCUAGGAUGCUGGACAGACUUAGCGAACACUUGGAUCUGAACUGAACCUCUUAGAGGAAAGCUGGUUAGAAACCGUAAGUAAAAGGAAUAUUUCGUAAAGGGGCAGUUUGGGUCGGGGCAAGCGAACUAAGGAUGAACUGGCGGUAAGGGAAACCGGGUCAGGGCCUUUCAGAAGGCCUCUGGCGGUCGUGUCAAGCGGUCGAUCGACGGUUGCCUUCUAGUGUGCAACGUAGGGUUUACGCGAUCGAUUGAUCGAUCGGCAUAAAAGACUUGACUGGUUUUGGUUUUGUCGUAGCUGAGCUGGGCCUGGGGC